CUUAUUAAGAUGAUAUAUACUUUUAAUAAAAUAUAAUUUCCUUCGGGAAAAUAAUUUAUUAUAAAUAAAUAUAUAAAUUGAUUAAAAAUAAAGUCUAUAAAUAAUUAAAAUAAUGAUAUUAAUUACAUUCUUUAAUUGAAUGAUAUAAUAUUUUAUAUUAUAUUUUAAUAGUCCUAACCAAGAUUUGUGCCAGCAGCUGCGGUAAUACAAUGAGGGCUAGCGUUAAUCAUAAUGGUUUAAAGUAUCCGUAGAAUGAUAAAAUAUUAUUAGAGUUAAUAAAUUUAAUUAAAGAAUUAUGAUAGUAAAGAUGAAAUAAUAAUGAUAAUCAUAAGACUGGUAUAUGUGAAAAUAUUAAUUAAAUAUUAACUGACAUUGAGGGAUGAAAGCUAGAGUAGCAAUAUGGAUUCGAUACCCAAGUAGUUCUAGCAGUAAACUAUGAACACCAUAAUUUAUACAUAAUAUAAAUUAUAAACGAAAGUGUAAGUGUUCCACCUGAAGAGUACUUUCGCAAGAAUGAAACUCAAGACAAUAGACGGUUACAGACUUAAGCAGUGGAGCAU
Molecule: ribosomal RNA, 560 nt
Filed under: Zygosaccharomyces bailii
Lineage: Eukaryota; Fungi; Ascomycota; Saccharomycetes; Saccharomycetales; Saccharomycetaceae
Description: partial small subunit ribosomal RNA
Rfam family: Microsporidia small subunit ribosomal RNA (bases 124-560)
Source: RNAcentral